UUUUUUUUUUUUUUUUUUUUUUUUUUUUACAUUUAUCUUUACCAUUUUACCUGUGUAUAUCCUUUUAGUUCCUGAGUGACUGAAACACCAAUACUUUCAUGACUUUUUAAUUUGCACUUUAUUUUUUUCCUUCCACAAUUGUUCUCUGGACAGCUGUGGGUAUGAGUGCUGGAGCUCGGUGAGGAGAAGUGCCCUGUCCAUCCUCUAUCCCCAGCCCUCCUCCCCCACUUUCCAGCCUGCUGUUCCAAGAGCUCAAGGGAGGUGGAAUUCACAGGCCAGGGUGCAUCUUUUAUUUAUUUAUUUAUGUUGCCCAACAGAACUUGAUUGUAAAUAAAAAAGAAAUCUGUUACAUACUUUAAAAAAAAAUAAAAGAUUACUUAUUUGAGAGAGAGCAUGAAGGGGGGCAGGGCAGAGGGAGAGGGAGAGAGAAACUUUAGCAUAUUCUGUGCUGAGUGAGGAGCCGGAUGAGGGGCUCCCACCCUAUGACCUUGAGAUCAGGACCUGACCCAAAACCAAGAGUCAGGCACUUAAGUGACUACACCACCCAGGCGCCCCUGAAACCACUUUUUAAAAAAAACUUCCAAACCAUCACAAGCUGAUCCUUGUAAAUACAAAAUCACAUGCUUGAAUAUUUUGGCACUAUUAAAUUACUAUUAGCCUUUUAACUGCCUACUUUCUAGGCAUAUUUCUGUUCUCUUUUUGUGCUUAUCUCUUCUUCAACCAGUAACAGUUCAGUAUGGCCUUGUAGACCACACUUUGAAUAGUCCUGAAGUUUAUGCUCCUGAAAGAUAGUCUAAGAAAAAUAUCAGGCAAAAGUAAACUUCAGUAAAGUUCUUUUUUUUUUUUUUUAAGAUUUUAUUUAUUUGAGAGAGAUGGUGAAAGAGAGAGCAUAAGCAGGGGGGAGUGGCAGAGGGAGGGGAGAAGCCAGCUCCCUGCUGAGCCUGAUUUGGGGCUCCAUCCCAGGACCCUCAGAUCAUGACCUGAGCCAAAGGCAGAUGCUUAACCAACUGAGCCACCCAGGGUCCCUUUAAUGAAGCUUAAUAGAGUAUUAGAUCCUAUUUAAUAAUUAGAAUAGUACAUGUAUUUUCCUUUGACUGUUUUGCUAAGUCAUCCCUGUUGAUGCUCAUGGCUGUGGUGGUUUUCUCUUACUGUGUAUCUGUCCAUUAUAUGAGGACACUGCAGUGUGUGUCUCUUCUGCUGUGCUAGCACCUAGACUGUCACAAAGUGAUGAACAUUUUUUUUAAAGAUUUUAUGCAUUUGAAAGAGAGAGUGAGCAUGAGCAGGAGGGGAGGAGCAAAGGGAGGAGGGAGAAGCAGGCUCCCUACUGAGCAGGGAGCCCAGCAAAGGGCUCUAUCUGACCUGGGAACCCAGAGGAUCAUGACGUGAGCUGAAGGCCGACACUUACCCAGCUGAGCCAUCCAGAUGCCCCUCAAAGAACAUUCUUACAUAUCUCUCCUAUUGCAUAUGUGUAGGAUCUCUCGAGAAUACAUCCAGGAGUAGAACUGUUUGCAUACGAAGUGUGUAUCUUCACCUCCACCUGGUCCUAACUAACUCUUCUCAUAGCAAUCGAUGCCUUGACAGCAGCAAUGGGAAGGCUCUACAUUUGGUAUUCUCAGACUUGAAGAUUUUGGAAAAUCUCCAGGGCAUAAAAUGAAAAGGCAAAACUAAAGAAUUUGAGAAAUAAUAAUGCAAAGAAUACAAUCCACCAUAAUCCCACCAUUUUAAUGUAUUUCAGUUACUUUUUUAGAGCCAUGUAUAUGUUGUGAAAGACAACAUUUGUCAUUUGUGUAUUUGACCUCAGUGUUGUGUAAUUUGCAUUUCCAUGAGAUUCAUUUGUUUACUCCUGGCUUUGCUUACCCUUUGAUUUUCUUUUAUAAAGUCCCUGUUCAAAUCUUUUGCUUGUUUUAAAAAAUGGGAUUGUUCGAGACUUUUUUGGUUAACAGGACGCCCUUAUAAAUUCAGGAGGCCAAUCCUUUGGUUAUAACUUUCAAAUAUUUUCUCAGUCUGUUUAUCUUUCUGAUCCUAAUGAAAUGUUUCAGUUUUUUUCUGUAUUGUUGGUAUUUUUAUGUCUUGCUGAAGAAAUUCGUCUCCAUCUUGGAGUCAUGAUUAUCUUCUUUUGUACUGUGUUCUAAAAUAUGUACAGUUUUAUGUUCUAUAGGAUAAGGUAAAUAACAUGGUUAUUAUUAUUUUUUUAAUUCCUUGAAAACUCAUUUUUCUCUGUUGAUUGCCGUACCAGUUCUGUCAUCUAUCUAUAAAUGCCCAUUUUA
This 2267-nucleotide long non-coding RNA is filed under the name Canis lupus familiaris (dog). RNAcentral's name for it is "lncRNA (ENSCAFG00845005323.1)". The record is from RNAcentral. Lineage: Eukaryota; Metazoa; Chordata; Mammalia; Carnivora; Canidae.